This 928-nucleotide ribosomal RNA is filed under the name uncultured bacterium. RNAcentral describes it as "bacterial SSU rRNA". It matches the Rfam family "Bacterial small subunit ribosomal RNA", at positions 53 to 978 of the family's 1533-position model. The record is from RNAcentral.
ACAUGCAAGUCGAGGGGCAGCGGGGUGUAGCAAUACACUGCCGGCGACCGGCGCACGGGUGCGUAACGCGUAUGCAACCUACCCAUAACAGGGGCAUAACACUGAGAAAUUGGUACUAAUUCCCCAUAACAUUCGAAGAGGCAUCUCUUUGGGUUGAAAACUCCGGUGGUUAUGGAUGGGCAUGCGUUGCAUUAGCUAGUUGGUGAGGUAACGGCUCACCAAGGCGACGAUACAUAGGGGGACUGAGAGGUUAACCCCCCACAUUGGUACUGAGACACGGACCAAACUCCUACGGGAGGCAGCAGUGAGGAAUAUUGGUCAAUGGACGCAAGUCUGAACCAGCCAUGCCGCGUGCAGGAUGACGGCUCUAUGAGUUGUAAACUGCUUUUGUACGAGGGUAAACUCACCUACGUGUAGGUGACUGAAAGUAUCGUACGAAUAAGGAUCGGCUAACUCCGUGCCAGCAGCCGCGGUAAUACGGAGGAUUCAAGCGUUAUCCGGAUUUAUUGGGUUUAAAGGGUGCGUAGGCGGUUAGAUAAGUUAGAGGUGAAAUCCCGGGGCUUAACUCCGAAAUUGCCUCUAAUACUGUUUGACUAGAGAGUAGUUGCGGUAGGCGGAAUGUAUGGUGUAGCGGUGAAAUGCUUAGAGAUCAUACAGAACACCGAUUGCGAAGGCAGCUUACCAAACUAUAUCUGACGUUGAGGCACGAAAGCGUGGGGAGCAAACAGGAUUAGAUACCCUGGUAGUCCACGCAGUAAACGAUGAUAACUCGCUGUCGGCGAUACACAGUCGGUGGCUAAGCGAAAGCGAUAAGUUAUCCACCUGGGGAGUACGUUCGCAAGAAUGAAACUCAAAGGAAUUGACGGGGGCCCGCACAAGCGGAGGAACAUGUGGUUUAAUUCGAUGAUACGCGAGGAACCUUACCCGG